This 2482-nucleotide ribosomal RNA is filed under the name Escherichia coli P0299438.10. RNAcentral's name for it is "bacterial LSU rRNA". It matches the Rfam family "Bacterial large subunit ribosomal RNA", at positions 460 to 2925 of the family's 2925-position model. The record is from RNAcentral. Lineage: Bacteria; Pseudomonadati; Pseudomonadota; Gammaproteobacteria; Enterobacterales; Enterobacteriaceae.
CCAAGGCUAAAUACUCCUGACUGACCGAUAGUGAACCAGUACCGUGAGGGAAAGGCGAAAAGAACCCCGGCGAGGGGAGUGAAAAAGAACCUGAAACCGUGUACGUACAAGCAGUGGGAGCCUCUUUUAUGGGGUGACUGCGUACCUUUUGUAUAAUGGGUCAGCGACUUAUAUUCUGUAGCAAGGUUAACCGAAUAGGGGAGCCGAAGGGAAACCGAGUCUUAACUGGGCGUUAAGUUGCAGGGUAUAGACCCGAAACCCGGUGAUCUAGCCAUGGGCAGGUUGAAGGUUGGGUAACACUAACUGGAGGACCGAACCGACUAAUGUUGAAAAAUUAGCGGAUGACUUGUGGCUGGGGGUGAAAGGCCAAUCAAACCGGGAGAUAGCUGGUUCUCCCCGAAAGCUAUUUAGGUAGCGCCUCGUGAAUUCAUCUCCGGGGGUAGAGCACUGUUUCGGCAAGGGGGUCAUCCCGACUUACCAACCCGAUGCAAACUGCGAAUACCGGAGAAUGUUAUCACGGGAGACACACGGCGGGUGCUAACGUCCGUCGUGAAGAGGGAAACAACCCAGACCGCCAGCUAAGGUCCCAAAGUCAUGGUUAAGUGGGAAACGAUGUGGGAAGGCCCAGACAGCCAGGAUGUUGGCUUAGAAGCAGCCAUCAUUUAAAGAAAGCGUAAUAGCUCACUGGUCGAGUCGGCCUGCGCGGAAGAUGUAACGGGGCUAAACCAUGCACCGAAGCUGCGGCAGCGACGCUAUGCGUUGUUGGGUAGGGGAGCGUUCUGUAAGCCUGUGAAGGUGUGCUGUGAGGCAUGCUGGAGGUAUCAGAAGUGCGAAUGCUGACAUAAGUAACGAUAAAGCGGGUGAAAAGCCCGCUCGCCGGAAGACCAAGGGUUCCUGUCCAACGUUAAUCGGGGCAGGGUGAGUCGACCCCUAAGGCGAGGCCGAAAGGCGUAGUCGAUGGGAAACAGGUUAAUAUUCCUGUACUUGGUGUUACUGCGAAGGGGGGACGGAGAAGGCUAUGUUGGCCGGGCGACGGUUGUCCCGGUUUAAGCGUGUAGGCUGGUUUUCCAGGCAAAUCCGGAAAAUCAAGGCUGAGGCGUGAUGACGAGGCACUACGGUGCUGAAGCAACAAAUGCCCUGCUUCCAGGAAAAGCCUCUAAGCAUCAGGUAACAUCAAAUCGUACCCCAAACCGACACAGGUGGUCAGGUAGAGAAUACCAAGGCGCUUGAGAGAACUCGGGUGAAGGAACUAGGCAAAAUGGUGCCGUAACUUCGGGAGAAGGCACGCUGAUAUGUAGGUGAAGUCCCUUGCGGAUGGAGCUGAAAUCAGUCGAAGAUACCAGCUGGCUGCAACUGUUUAUUAAAAACACAGCACUGUGCAAACACGAAAGUGGACGUAUACGGUGUGACGCCUGCCCGGUGCCGGAAGGUUAAUUGAUGGGGUCAGCGCAAGCGAAGCUCUUGAUCGAAGCCCCGGUAAACGGCGGCCGUAACUAUAACGGUCCUAAGGUAGCGAAAUUCCUUGUCGGGUAAGUUCCGACCUGCACGAAUGGCGUAAUGAUGGCCAGGCUGUCUCCACCCGAGACUCAGUGAAAUUGAACUCGCUGUGAAGAUGCAGUGUACCCGCGGCAAGACGGAAAGACCCCGUGAACCUUUACUAUAGCUUGACACUGAACAUUGAGCCUUGAUGUGUAGGAUAGGUGGGAGGCUUGAAGUGUGGACGCCAGUCUGCAUGGAGCCGACCUUGAAAUACCACCCUUUAAUGUUUGAUGUUCUAACGUUGACCCGUAAUCCGGGUUGCGGACAGUGUCUGGUGGGUAGUUUGACUGGGGCGGUCUCCUCCUAAAGAGUAACGGAGGAGCACGAAGGUUGGCUAAUCCUGGUCGGACAUCAGGAGGUUAGUGCAAUGGCAUAAGCCAGCUUGACUGCGAGCGUGACGGCGCGAGCAGGUGCGAAAGCAGGUCAUAGUGAUCCGGUGGUUCUGAAUGGAAGGGCCAUCGCUCAACGGAUAAAAGGUACUCCGGGGAUAACAGGCUGAUACCGCCCAAGAGUUCAUAUCGACGGCGGUGUUUGGCACCUCGAUGUCGGCUCAUCACAUCCUGGGGCUGAAGUAGGUCCCAAGGGUAUGGCUGUUCGCCAUUUAAAGUGGUACGCGAGCUGGGUUUAGAACGUCGUGAGACAGUUCGGUCCCUAUCUGCCGUGGGCGCUGGAGAACUGAGGGGGGCUGCUCCUAGUACGAGAGGACCGGAGUGGACGCAUCACUGGUGUUCGGGUUGUCAUGCCAAUGGCACUGCCCGGUAGCUAAAUGCGGAAGAGAUAAGUGCUGAAAGCAUCUAAGCACGAAACUUGCCCCGAGAUGAGUUCUCCCUGACUCCUUGAGAGUCCUAAGGAACGUUGAAGACGACGACGUUGAUAGGCCGGGUGUGUAAGCGCAGCGAUGCGUUGAGCUAACCGGUACUAAUGAACCGUGAGGCUUAACCUU